CCACUGCCUUCGCCGCCGCUGCCACCGCCACCACCACCACCUCCUUUACCGCCGGAAGAGUCUCAAACAUAGAGAGAAGUCAAACAGUAAGAAGGCACACGCCGAAAGACUGCUUCUAGAAUUUGUGAAAGUUACCUUUCACCUAAGUCUCACUGGAGUCUUGGAGACAUCUUUUUUCAGAGUCCAUUAAUUUAUUGCAGAAAAUGUGGACCCCAGCUAUGCAGCGCUACUGGACUGCAAUUCCUGGCAUUCCAUGCUGGAGUCUGAAUGGGCUUCAAUAUCCAGGUGUGCUGCCAUCUAGCCUCCUAGGGGAAUAAACAGCCCUUAGAGAUAGUUGUUCCCUGUCUUUCCCUUUUAUCCCGGUAAGGAAAGGUAUUGUAAGUACAUCUGGUCGGGAUGCCUGUCCAUCUGCCAGGGACUUCCCUUCUGGGCAAGAAACUUUCUUCUCUCUUGGCCGGGCUGUCCAUCAACCCACCUGGGGCGUUCCAUCUGUGUACAAAAUCUUUCUCUCUUGGUCGGGAUUCCUGUCCAUCCACCCAUACUGGCAAGGAACCUUCCCCUUACCUGGUUGGGAUUGCCCAUCCAUCCCGAAUGGUAAAAAUUCAACAGAAAUAAGAAUAGUUGCAUCAGAUAUUUCAAAUAUUAAAAUGUGUGCUUCAAAUUAAAUGUUUAAAAUAUAAAUAUUCUUGAUUGUAAUCAAAAUAUGUCAUUUUCCACUCUUUGAUAAAGGUCCAUAUGCCUAUUAAAGGAUCAUAAAUUACAUCAUAUUAAUAAUCACCGACCUUAAAACAGUAUCUUACAUGAUUGUUUCCAUUUCUAACCUUCUAGGAGUGGCUCUUAGAGGGCUAGGACCACAGUAAAGAAUCAGAUAUUUAUUCAUGAUCAGCAACUUUGAAAUAGCAUAAAACAACUCUCCACCUGCCUGUAAUACCAAUCCCCAGUUUUCUGAAAACGAAUAACUUUGACUUAUAUCCCAUUAGGAGAUUAUCCCCUGGAUUGAUUAAUGCGGCAAGCACAACUUUAAGUCCUUCUGAUCAUUUUUGCAGACACCUAUUGAUUUAAUCUUAGUCCUAAGGGUGUAGUUUCCUGCACAAAAUGUGGUCCAAAAUGACCAUAAAAUGAUGGCGUUUCAGGU
Polypterus senegalus (gray bichir) is the source of this 1135-nucleotide long non-coding RNA. RefSeq lists it as uncharacterized. The transcript is spliced from 3 exons. The record is from RefSeq and is a predicted model, not a curated record. Lineage: Eukaryota; Metazoa; Chordata; Cladistia; Polypteriformes; Polypteridae.